This 253-nucleotide ribosomal RNA is filed under the name uncultured bacterium. Its description in RNAcentral is "partial 16S ribosomal RNA". It matches the Rfam family "Bacterial small subunit ribosomal RNA", at positions 524 to 776 of the family's 1533-position model. The record is from RNAcentral.
GACGAGGGAUCCUAGCGUUGUUCGGAAUUAUUGGGCGUAAAGCGGGUGUAGGCGGCUUUAUAAGUCAGGUGUGAAAGCCCAGGGCUCAACCCUGGAAGUGCACUUGAUACUGUAAAGCUUGAAUGUGGUAGAGGUUACUGGAAUUGUUGGUGUAGUGGUGAAAUACGUAGAUAUCAACAGGAAUACCGGAGGCGAAGGCGGGUAACUGGGCCAACAUUGACGCUGAGACCCGAAAGCGUGGGGAUCAAACAGG